Non-coding RNA from Salmo salar (Atlantic salmon), 54 nucleotides. NCBI's taxonomy places the organism in Eukaryota, Metazoa, Chordata, Actinopteri, Salmoniformes, Salmonidae. The record is from Rfam.
UAUGCACUCUACUGUAAGUCGCUCUGGAUAAGAGCGUCUGCUAGAUGACUAAAA